AAGAAAUGGAGACUUGCGUGGGACCGUCAUGUGAGAGCACUGAAAAGGUCUAAGGAUAUGCCAGAGAGUGUACCGAGGCCUGGAAGCCUGAGUUGGCUCACCAUUUUUAUAAAACAUCGGCAAACCAACCCAAACUUUCCCGAGAUUUCAGCAGACAGAGUUGAGAGUCCUAAUGACAACCUGGAUCAGACUCCCUUGUUUUCAGACCAGGCAGGUAAGCCAAUAUUAGUGGUUUGUAGUUGGCUACAGGUAUUGUGUAGUUGGCUACAGACACAAUCCUUAUGUUUCCAUACUGGCUCCUUUUUUAUUUUACUGUAGGU
RNAcentral lists this long non-coding RNA (320 nucleotides) under Salmo trutta (river trout). Its description in RNAcentral is "lncRNA (ENSSTUG00000043660.1)". The record is from RNAcentral. Lineage: Eukaryota; Metazoa; Chordata; Actinopteri; Salmoniformes; Salmonidae.